RNAcentral lists this unclassified non-coding RNA (219 nucleotides) under Hevea brasiliensis (rubber tree). Lineage: Eukaryota; Viridiplantae; Streptophyta; Magnoliopsida; Malpighiales; Euphorbiaceae. The record is from RNAcentral.
CUUAAGUCAAGAUCACAACAAGGUAAGGCAUAGAUAAUAGCUAGUUACGUUCUAGUUGAUUUGUGUUACUCUUUGAUAUUGUCUUUCCCUGAAAGAUUGAACUUAGGUGUUUUUGAUUGCUCGGAUUAGUUGUUGUUAUGUGUACGCAAAUGAUGUUUCAUUCUUCUAAUGUGCUGAUCUCUUACUCUUCAAUAUGACUUUUGUAGGAUGGCCUUCCAC